AAACCAUCUUGAGUGGAUGGGUUUUGAUUGGAAGCCUCAUCCUAUUCUUCAAGCCUUCUCCCCCCUUCUCUAGCAUAGCAGCAGCCAGUCAGCAGGAGUACUCCCUCGCUGCCAUCAUCACGAGCUAACUCGAUUAAGCACAGAUAGUGCAUCAAUGGCGUCCACCGCCCAGCUUCUCGGCCACCUCGCCGGCUCCACCACCACAGCCAGCCUUAGCGUCACGCCUGUGGGCGGCGGCAGCAGCAAGGUCAGGUUCCUGCCGGCGAAGGCGCAGAGGCGGCGCGUGGUGGCGCGGCCGCGGGCGGCGGUGUCCGGCGCGGAGAAGGAGAAGGCCAAGCCGGCCGGCAAGGAGGACGAGCGCGUGGUGCAGGUGCACAGCGCGGAGGAGUUCGACAGCGCGCUCCAGAAGGCCAAGAACCGGCUGGUGGUGGUGGAGUUCGCGGCGAGCCACAGCGUGAACAGCAAGCGCAUCUACCCGUGCAUGGUGGACCUCAGCCGCACCUGCGGCGACGUCGACUUCCUCCUGGUCAUGGGCGACGAGUCGGAGGCCACGCGGGAGCUCUGCAAGCGGGAGGGCAUCACCCAGGUGCCGCACUUCUCCUUCUACAAGGGCACCGAGAAGGUGCACGAGGAGGAGGGCAUCGGCCCCGACCAGCUCGCCGGCGACGUGCUCUACUACGGCGACAACCACGCCGGCGUCGUGCAGCUGCACAGCCGGACGGACGUGGAGGCGCUCAUGGCAGAGAACAGCGGCGAGGACGGGAAGCUGUUGGUGCUGGACGUCGGGCUCAAGCACUGCGGGCCCUGCGUCAAGGUCUACCCCACCGUCGUCAAGCUCUCCCGCUCCAUGGCCGACACCGCCGUCUUCGCGCGCAUGAACGGCGACGAGAACGACGCAUGCAUGCAGUUCCUCAAGGACAUGGAGGUCGUCGAGGUGCCUACCUUCCUCUUCAUCAGGGACAAGAAAAUCGUCGGCCGCUACGUCGGCUCCGGCAAGGGGGAGCUCAUCGGCGAGAUCCUCCGGUACCAGGGCGUCAGGGUCACAUACUAAACCAGCAAGCCACCAGCAAUGCUUUAUGUACGUAGUACAACAACGAUACUUGUGAAUUCGGCCAAACGAAAGGAGUGCAGAUAGAAUUACUCCUGUUUACUGCAUGCAUGCGGCAUCAAUCGAUGCUAUACAUAGGUUCAUAUUUAGACAUUUUUAUGCUCUUAAUUAUCUGGUAUUGGGCGCCAAUCACAUACGUUAUAGCAGUAAUAGAAUUUUGGAGUGCAAAUUGUAAUAAGUUUAUAAUGGUUUUAUUGUGAUAUUAUCAUAGCUUUGCCAUCCUACUUUUUUUUAUAGAAGGGCGUAUUUUAUUAUCUCAAAUGUAGCAUCAAGCGAUACAAAGCAUUAUGAAUAACACCCGACCUCUGCAUAACUAAGAUGCAUACAGCCAAUCCCGAAAAGUCCGGCAAAAAGAAAUGAAACUAAACCAACAAAACGACAACAUCGGUAGAGUCCUAUAGACCAACACUAUGCCUACGUCGAAAGUGAUGGUGGAUCAAUCCGGAGGUUAUGCUGCCACUCAUGUUGGGAAAAAACCUCUGUAGCAGCCUGCUCCAACCGCCACUCACGCUGUCGAGUAUUAACAUGUAAGCCGGGUGUCAAAACACGGGUAUUCGUCAAGGCAAGGAAAAACUCGUGGCAAAAAAGAGUGACUCGGCUUAUGGCUGAGUAAACCGGGUGAGCCCUCUAAAAAGCCUUCGGCUUACAUAUAAGACUCGGCAUACUGUACGGAGUUACUGGGCUUACAGCCAAUCCUCGACAAAGUUUGUCG
This 1820-nucleotide ribosomal RNA is filed under the name Triticum aestivum (bread wheat). Its description in RNAcentral is "partial small subunit ribosomal RNA". Lineage: Eukaryota; Viridiplantae; Streptophyta; Magnoliopsida; Poales; Poaceae. The record is from RNAcentral.